Molecule: non-coding RNA, 2269 nt
Organism: Meleagris gallopavo (turkey)
Lineage: Eukaryota; Metazoa; Chordata; Aves; Galliformes; Phasianidae
Source: RefSeq, a predicted model, not a curated record
ACAUGUUCUAUUUUCUCCCGUGAGUGUUUUCCUUCUUUUUCUUUUGGGGCCAGAAGUCAGUAAAUAAGACCUGAGGAUAGAAAAUGCUAUGUUCUGACAGACACCUGACACAAUUACGAAGUGAUUGUCCUGUGAAGUGCUUUGUCAGCAACAAUCAUUUGUUGGUAGCCAGGCUCUACACAUGACAGUUUAUAACAGAGAGAGGCUGUUGGAUACCUUUAUCACAGAGUGGGGUGGGAACUUGAAGCUUGGAUGCAAUUCAGGGCUGUCAUGCAAACUGGCAGUGUGCCUGGGGGAGGUCACCCAAGCUGCCUACCUCAGCUCCCAGUCUGACCAUUCAGCAGCUGUAGGAUCACCUUCCUCAUUUUUGCAGUUUCCAAAGCUCAUUCCCCUAUGACUGGGGAAGCAUUUGGGGACACAUACCUCUUCCACUGUCCUUCAUGUUAAUCAGAUCUUUAAGGAUGUCAUCCCUGUGCCUGAAUUUUAAGGUUUACGAGAAAUGGGGCUGUGUGUUCCAGGUUCGUACUGUGCCACUGUAACUAAGAUGCUGCUGUGCUUAAUAACACAAAAAUAAAAACCACAGCUUAGCAGUUGGCUUCAGAAACAUUUCCUAAUCCUUUGGCACAGAUGUCAUGUUGAGCAUUUUUUUGAGAUGAAGGACAUGACAAAUGUUUUCCCUCUUUAAUAAUGACUACCAACUUUUUUUUUUUCUUACUGAGCUUGGUAUUUAUAAAUCAAAUUGCUUUAGGCUGUUUGAACCUAGGAAGCCAAGUGCUGCAGGGCAUGGCCAGUUCUGCCCCUUCAAGUCUGCUUUCAGCCAUGGGAGUUUGGGCUAUGUGAAGCAGAGCUGCCAGCUACCCAGGGCCGAGAGUUUAAAGCCAUUUCCCCUUGUCUACCCCUGUAAAAGGCUGGUCCUCCUAUUUGUAAGCUUCUCUCAAGUACUGGAAUGCUGUGCAGAGGCCUCCAUGGAGCUUCUCUCCAAGCUAAGCAAGCCCAAUUCCAUCAACCUUUCUUCAUAGAAGAGGUGCUCCAGCCCUCUGCUUAUCUUCGUGGCCCUCCUCUAGACCUGCUUUCUUGUGCUGGGGGUCCCAAGCUUGGAUAGGACUACUUCAUAUAGGGCUUUGCAAGGGCAGAGCAGAAGGAGACAAUCAUUUCCCUCACUCUGCUGCCACCCCUCUGUUGAUGCAGCCCAGGAUGCCGCUGGCUUUCCAGACUGCAGGCACACACUGCUGGCUCACAUUUUUAACCUACAAGGACCUCAAGUACUUCUCUACAGGGUUGUUCUUGAGGAUUUCUUCUCCCAGUCUGUAUAAAUACCUGAGAUGGCUCACACUCAAGUGCAGCACCUUGCACUUAGCCUUGUUAAACUUCAUUAGGUUUACAUAGGCCCACUUUUGAAACCUGUCCUGGUCCCUCUGAAUGACUUCCAUUCCUUCUGUUGUAUCAGCUGCACUGCUCAGCUUGGUGUCAUCUGCACACUUGCUGAGGGUGUAUUCAAUCCCACUGUCUACAUUGUUGAUAAAGACGUCGAAAAGCACCAGUCCCAAGAUGGACCCCUGGAGGACACCACUCAUGCCUGGGCUCCACCUGGAUAUAGAGCCAUUGACCACAAUCCUCUGGCUGCAACUGUCUGAACAAUUCUUUGUCCAAUCUUCACAUCCAUGUCUCUCAAAUUUGGAGGUGAAGAUGUGGUGCUAGGACCAUAUCAAAGGCCUUGCAGCAGUACGGGCAGAUGGCAUCAGUUGCUUUUUCUUUGUCUGCUGAUGUUGUCACUCCAUCAUAGAAGGCCAUCGGAUAGGUCAGGCACAAUCUGCCCUUGGUGAAGCUGUGCUGGCUGUCUCAGAUCACCUCUUCAUCUUGCAUAUGCUAUAACAUCUCUUCCAGGAGGAUCUGCUCCAUGAUCUUUCCAAGCACAGAGGAACAAAGGCAUUUAACUGCAAACUUACAGCAAACCACUCUCCGUUCUGCAUGAGUUCCAUCGGACAAAUACGAACACCAGAACAUCCAAGUGCGGAUGCUGCCUAAAUAACAUCUCGCAGAUAGCACCCCCAGCUGUGUUUGCAACAGCAUGAAAGGUAAACAGAGGUAAUCACUGCAGCAUACUGCUUCUUUUUUUUAUUUAAGCUCACGUAGAAUGUUGAUUCUCUGCCUUUUUUUUUUUUUAAUUCUGUUCUUAUUUUUUUUUUAACUUCAGUUUAAACUGAUGACCACGACUAUUUUCCUCCACUGCAAGAGUUAAACGUGCCCCUUCUAACUUAAGAAAGAUGCU